GGUGAGUAAUGUCUGGGAAACUGCCUGAUGGAGGGGGAUAACUACUGGAAACGGUAGCUAAUACCGCAUAACGUCGCAAGACCAAAGAGGGGGACCUUCGGGCCUCUUGCCAUCGGAUGUGCCCAGAUGGGAUUAGCUUGUUGGUGGGGUAACGGCUCACCUAGGCGACGAUCCCUAGCUGGUCUGAGAGGAUGACCAGCCACACUGGAACUGAGACACGGUCCAGACUCCUACGGGAGGCAGCAGUGGGGAAUAUUGCACAAUGGGCGCAAGCCUGAUGCAGCCAUGCCGCGUGUAUGAAGAAGGCCUUCGGGUUGUAAAGUACUUUCAGCGGGGAGGAAGGGAGUAAAGUUAAUACCUUUGCUCAUUGACGUUACCCGCAGAAGAAGCACCGGCUAACUCCGUGCCAGCAGCCGCGGUAAUACGGAGGGUGCAAGCGUUAAUCGGAAUUACUGGGCGUAAAGCGCACGCAGGCGGUUUGUUAAGUCAGAUGUGAAAUCCCCGGGCUCAACCUGGGAACUGCAUCUGAUACUGGCAAGCUUGAGUCUCGUAGAGGGGGGUAGAAUUCCAGGGUGUAGCGGUGAAAUGCGUAGAGAUCUGGAGGAAUACCGGUG
This 614-nucleotide ribosomal RNA is filed under the name Escherichia coli. RNAcentral's name for it is "bacterial SSU rRNA". It matches the Rfam family "Bacterial small subunit ribosomal RNA", at positions 105 to 714 of the family's 1533-position model. Lineage: Bacteria; Pseudomonadati; Pseudomonadota; Gammaproteobacteria; Enterobacterales; Enterobacteriaceae. The record is from RNAcentral.